AUUUACGUUUUUGGCGGGAAAAU
Molecule: small nuclear RNA, 23 nt
Filed under: Arabidopsis thaliana (thale cress)
Lineage: Eukaryota; Viridiplantae; Streptophyta; Magnoliopsida; Brassicales; Brassicaceae
Description: snRNA_01333
Source: RNAcentral